AUGGCUGCGCGUUCAGUCUGGUUGGGUAGCUGGGGACUUGAUUUACUGGGUGUCGGGUGGCAUUUGUCAUUCUGCACUCGGGUUAUAUACCCGUGAGAGCCUGAGGGCUGGCCCAGGUCAGUCAUCUGGUUUUCGCGUGGCAAUAUAACUUUUCCUAUGUUAAGCCGGCUGGCUAGUUCUGACCGCUGGGUAAGUCACUCGUGGCUUGCCCAAGCUGUGCUUAUUCGAUAUACGCUGCGCGAUAUCGGGCGCGAGCUCGUACCCCACUGCGCUUAUAUUGCUGCUCCGCACGGGAAAUUGCUAGACCGUGCGGUGGCACAAUAAUAAUUACUAUGGUUGCUCUGAAAUUCGGGUCCACACGGGAUGGGUACUACCGUGUGGACAAAGCUUGUCAGCUGAAUCGCUUCCACGAAUCCCUGUGGUUGCGCGCGCUCUCAGUCCCUUUGGGGUUGAGUUGCUUGAAAGAGUGAAC
This 472-nucleotide unclassified non-coding RNA is filed under the name Diplostomum ardeae. RNAcentral's name for it is "partial external transcribed spacer". Lineage: Eukaryota; Metazoa; Platyhelminthes; Trematoda; Diplostomida; Diplostomidae. The record is from RNAcentral.